This is a non-coding RNA of Cucumis melo (muskmelon), 112 nucleotides long. RefSeq annotates it as microRNA MIR164d. The transcript has a single exon. NCBI's taxonomy places the organism in Eukaryota, Viridiplantae, Streptophyta, Magnoliopsida, Cucurbitales, Cucurbitaceae. The record is from RefSeq and is marked provisional.
CCGAUCAGGAUGGAGAAGCAGGGCACGUGCAUUACUCACUCAUGUAACUCCACACCCACGUGGCUGCCUCCGAGUGGGUUGUUCAUGUGCCCCUCUUCUCCAUCCUGACCAC